RNAcentral lists this ribosomal RNA (448 nucleotides) under uncultured bacterium. Its description in RNAcentral is "partial 16S ribosomal RNA". It matches the Rfam family "Bacterial small subunit ribosomal RNA", at positions 330 to 793 of the family's 1533-position model. The record is from RNAcentral.
GCCAGACUCCUACGGGAGGCAGCAGUGGGGGAUAUUGCACAAUGGGGGAAACCCUGAUGCAGCGACGCCGCGUGGGCGAAGAAGUAUUUCGGUAUGUAAAGCCCUAUCAGCAGGGAAGAAGAAAUGACGGUACCUGAGUAAGAAGCACCGACUAAAUACGUGCCAGCAGCCGCGGUAAUACGUAUGGUGCAAGCGUUAUCCGGAUUUACUGGGUGUAAAGGGAGCGCAGGCGGCACGGCAAGCCUGAUGUGAAAGCCUGCGGCCCAACCGCGGGACUGCAUUAGGAACUACCGGGCUGGAGUGCCGGAGAGGUAGGCGGAAUUCCUAGUGUAGCGGUGAAAUGCGUAGAUAUUAGGAGGAACACCAGUGGCGAAGGCGGCCUACUGGACGGUGACUGACGCUGAGGCUCGAAAGCGUGGGGAGCAAACAGGAUUAGAUACCCCUGUAC